RNAcentral lists this unclassified non-coding RNA (237 nucleotides) under uncultured fungus. Its description in RNAcentral is "sequence contains ITS1". Lineage: Eukaryota; Fungi. The record is from RNAcentral.
GUAUUGUAUUGCGUUAAACGCGAUGUACAUUCCAUGAGACUUCGUUACAGUGUGUGUGUGUGUGUAAAUACAUAGAACCACGGCAGGGGAACAGAGCCCCCAGGCUGCAGAACUACGGAGGGUGCACAGGUGUGAGUGGAUGUGCAAACAGAGUGUGCACAUGCCCCCAUUUGGAGACCAGCAACAACUCAUGUUGACAAUUCGGUAAUGAUCCUUCCGCAGGUUCACCUACGGAAA